RNAcentral lists this ribosomal RNA (492 nucleotides) under uncultured bacterium. RNAcentral describes it as "partial 16S ribosomal RNA". It matches the Rfam family "Bacterial small subunit ribosomal RNA", at positions 29 to 507 of the family's 1533-position model. The record is from RNAcentral.
AGUGAACGCUGGCGGUAGGCCUAACACAUGCAAGUCGAACGGCAGCACAGUAAGAGCUUGCUCUUACGGGUGGCGAGUGGCGGACGGGUGAGGAAUACAUCGGAGUCUACUUUUUCGUGGGGGAUAACGUAGGGAAACUUACGCUAAUACCGCAUACGACCUACGGGUGAAAGCAGGGGAUCUUCGGACCUUGCGCGAUUGAAUGAGCCGAUGUCGGAUUAGCUAGUUGGCGGGGUAAAGGCCCACCAAGGCGACGAUCCGUAGCUGGUCUGAGAGGAUGAUCAGCCACACUGGAACUGAGACACGGUCCAGACUCCUACGGGAGGCAGCAGUGGGGAAUAUUGGACAAAGGGCGCAAGCCUGAUCCAGCCAUACCGCGUGGGUGAAGAAGGCCUUCGGGUUGUAAAGCCCUUUUGUUGGGAAAGAAAAGCAGCAGGUUAAUACCCCGCUGUUCUGACGGUACCCAAAGAAUAAGCACCGGCUAACUUCGUG